This 250-nucleotide ribosomal RNA is filed under the name uncultured bacterium. RNAcentral's name for it is "partial 16S ribosomal RNA". It matches the Rfam family "Bacterial small subunit ribosomal RNA", at positions 57 to 305 of the family's 1533-position model. The record is from RNAcentral.
GCAAGUCGAGCGGUAACAGAGAUAGCUUGCUAUCUGCUGACGAGCGGCGGACGGGUGAGUAAUGCUUGGGAACAUGCCUUGAGGUGGGGGACAACAGUUGGAAACGACUGCUAAUACCGCAUAACGUCUACGGACCAAAGUGGGGGACCUUCGGGCCUCACGCCAUAAGAUUAGCCCAAGUGGGAUUAGCUAGUUGGUGAGGUAAUGGCUCACCAAGGCGACGAUCCCUAGCUGGUUUGAGAGGAUGAUC